UAGCUACUUGGGAGGCUGAGCUGGGAGGAUUGCUUGAAUCCGGGAGGCAGAGGAUGCAGUGAGCCAAGAUCAUGCCACUGCACUCCAGCCUGGGUGACAGAAUGAGACCCUGUCUCAAAUGAAUGAAUGAAUGAAUGAAUGAUUGAAUGAUUGAAUAAAAUCGGCCAACCUGAUUAUAUGGUUUUCUCCAACAAUGUGUAGCUGCACUGGUGCAGGUAAAGAGUAUGUGGUGGAUUAAUUUUAAUUGUGUUUUAGUACCCUUACUUCAUGUGUGUAUAUCCGUAAACAAUAUAUACUAUUACCAUGUUUUUUAAAUGUACAUACAUGACAUAUUCUAUUGCAAAUUGUUUUUUAUUUGACCUAUUCUUGAAAUUUAUCCAAGCUGAUAAAUGGGAUGUUUCAUUUAUUUUAACUGUUGUGUAAUAAUCCUUUAUAUUAGUUAUCCAGUCUAUCUUUUCUCCUACUGAGGUACAUUUAGGUUGUUUCUAUGUUUUCUCUAUCACAGUGUUGCAUUUUUUCCCCUGAUGUUAUUGAUUUGUUGGAGUUCGUUAAGUAUUAUAGAUACCAACCCUUUAUAACUAUAUGUUUUGUAAAUUUCUUUUCUAAAAUUUUAACUUGUUUUUAAUUUUGUUUAAUGAUCUUUUUUGCCAUUUAACAUUUUAAUAUCCAAUGUACUAAAUCUUUUCUUUUACGGCUUAUUUUUUUAAUUUUAAAAAAAUUUUAAUUGUGGUUAAAAAAACACAAAACAAAAAUUGCCAUCUUAACUGUUUGUGAAUAUAUGGUUCAGCAGCUUUAAUAAUACUCAUUUUGUUAUGUAACAGAUCUCUAGCACUUUUUCAUCUUGCAAAAUUAAAACUCUAUACCUUUUCCCCCGUCCCCUAACCCCCAGCAGCCACCAUUCUACUUUCUAUUUCUGUGAGUUUGACUACUUAUGAUAUCCCAUGUCAGUGGAGUUGUACAGUAUUUAUUUUAUUUUUGUGACUAUUUCACUUAGCAUAGUUCUCAAGGUUCAUGCAUGCUGUAGCAUGUGACAAGAUUUCCUUCUUUAUUAAGGCUGAAUAAUAUUCCAUGGUAUUUAUAUGCCACAUUUUGUUUAUUCGUUUAUCUGUUGAUGGACAUUUGGAUUGCUCUCACCUCUUGGCUAUUGUGAAUAAUACAGUGAACGUGGUUGUGCAAAUAUUUCUUCAAGAGGCCUGCCUUCAAUUCUUUUGGAUAUAUACCCACAAGGGGGAUUGCUAGAUCAUAUGGUAGUUCUACUUUUAAUUUUUUGAGGAACAUUUAUACUAUUUUCCAUAGCAGCUGCACCAUUUUACAUUCUCACCAGCAGUGCUAAAAAGUUCCAGGUUCUCCGUAUCUUUGCCAACACUUGUUAUGUUGGUGUUUUUGUUAUUAUAGUGGCUGUCCUAAUGAGUGUAAGGUGAAAUCUCAUUGUAAUUCUGAUUCGCGUUUAUCUCUAAUCAUUAGUGAUGUUGAGCAUCUUUUCAUAUGCUGUUAACCAUUUGUAUGUUAUCUUUGGAGAAAUGUCUAUUAGAGUCCUUUGCUCAUUUUAAAAUCAGGUUAUUUGUGGGUUUUGUUGUUUUUAGGAGUUCUUUAUAUAUUCUAGAUAUUAACUCCUUAUCAGAUAUAUGAUUUGCAAAUAUUUUCUCCCAUUCUGUAGGUUGCCUUUCAUUCUGUUUCUUUCCUUCGAUAUUCAGAAGUUUUUAAAUUUGAUAUAGUCCCAUUUGUCUAUUUUUGCUUUUGUUGUCUGUGCUUUUGGUGUCAUAUCUAAGAAAUCGUUGCCAGAUCCAAUGUCAUGAAGCUUUUCCCAUGUAUUUUCUUCCAGGAUUUUUACAGUUCUAGGUCUUACAUUUAGGGUAUAAAAUCAGGUGGAAAUAUUUUAUAUUUUUAAUACAAAUAACCCAAUUACCUUUUAAGUAUUUGUUGACUAGUCAGUUAAUCUUUUCUCUUCUUAUUCGAAAUGCAACUUCUGUCAUAUAACUAAGUUCCCAAGCAUACUUACGAGUCUGUUUUUAGGCUCUUCAUUGAAUUCCAUUUGUCUGUUUGCCUCGCUCUGUAUCAGAACCAAAAUAUCUUAAAGCAUCUGGCUGGCCGGGCGUGGUGGCUCACGCCUGUAAUCUCAGCACUUUGGGAAGCUGAGGUAGGAGGAUCGCUUGAGGCCAAGAGUUCAAGACCAGCCUGGGCAAUAUAGCAAGAAUUCAUCUCUACAAAAUAUUUAAAAAAUUAGUUGAGUGUGUUGGUGCAUGCCUUUAGUCCCAGCUGCUCGGGAAGCUGAGGCAGAAGGUUCACUUGAACCCAGGAAUUUGAGGUUGCAGUGAGCUGCGAUCAUGCCACUGCACUCCAGCCUAGACAACAGAGCAAGACUUUAUCUCAAAAAAGAAAAGAAAAAAAAGCCUAUCAUUUUAUAGUAAGUCUUGAUUCUGAAAAGGUGAGAUCUUUUUCCUCUUCACCCUCACCCUACCUCCCUCUCCUUUCCCCCGACCUUCGUCCUCCCUCUUCACUGUCUUCUCUAUUCUUGGCUUUUUGUGUUCCUCCACAUGAAUUGUGGAAUCGAAUAUAUAAAUUAAUUUGGAGGGAACUGCAAUUUUUGAAUAUUGACCCUUCCAGUCAAUGAAUUUGCAUCAGUGAAUGUUCAGAUCUUCUCAUUUAUUUAGUUUUUUAUGUCUUUCAAAAAUAUUUUGUACUAUUAUCUGUAAUAUUUUAUACAUAUAUUAUUAGACUUAUUUCUAUUUAUACAUUUUGUUUCAAUUAUAAGAAUUACCUUUAAAAACUGGAAUAUUUAUGUUUUUCUUGCCAGAGCUUAGGAAUGCUGUUGACCUUAUACAUAAAACAUUGAAUUCUUAUUAGGUGCACAAAUUUAUAGAUUGACUUGGAUUUUUGUAUAGAUGACUACAUUAAAAAGAAAAAAGUCAGAACCAUUAUUUGUAAGUAAUAAUGGCUUUGUUUCUUUUCAUUUCUCAUACCUUUUAGUUUCUGUGUGUUUGGGGAUGGUUAUUUUGUUUAGGUUUGGCUUGGUUUUAUUGAUUUGUCUACCAAGUUUUAUGUGUAUAUGUAUUUUUUACAUUAAAGAACAUGUAUUUUAGUCAUUUAGUAUGGUAUUUGCUGUAGGUUUUUGGUAGAUAAAUUAUAUUUUUAGUAUCUUUAUUGUUAUAAGUAAAUUCUUAUGGUUUUUCUCUUUAACCACAUAAUGAUGUGAAUUAUAUGAAUAGAUUUUUGUUUCCUUUUUCAGUGUUAGACCAUCUUUCAAUUCCUGGAACAAACUUAACUUUCCAUGAUAUGUAUUUUUUAUACAUUGCUGGAUUUUAUUUGCUAAUAUUUUACUUAGGAUUUUAUUUUCUAAGUUGACCUAUAAUUUUCCUGUAUAAAAUUGCAUUUGUCACAUUUUAGUAUCAAGGUUGUCCUAGCACCAUGAAAUGGAUUUAGAAUGGUUUAUGUAAGAUAAAGUACAUUUCUUCUAAAGGUUUGUGUGGAUUCACUUUCAAAUCUGCCAGAGUGUGUUUUUUUCCUUUUUUUUUUUUUUUCAUUUUAAGUGAGUGCAAGUAGCUUUUCAAAUACUGAUUUAAUUUUUAAAAUAUUUACAAGUAUAUUUAGAGUUUUUAUUUCUUCUUGAAUGUUAACAUUUUUAUAGAAAAUGGUAUUAUCUUUUUAAAUUCUUUGACAUCAGUUUCUUCAGAAUUUCCUUACUUUUAAAAAUCUCUGUAACUAUAGUAAUGUUUUAUUUUAAAUUACUGAUAUUAUUCAUUUGUUACUUUUCUUGAUCCUUUGUUAGAAGUGUCCAUUUUAUUAGUCUUUUAUAAGAAAGAGCUUUUGUCAAGCCUUCUAUUUUUCUUCUCUUUCUUUGAUGAGGUUUAUUAUUUUGUGCAUUUUACUUUCUAUAAGCUUCUUUCAUAUUCUUUUUCUAAGCUUUUAAUUUGGACAUCCAGCUCACUAAUAUUUAAUCUUUUUAAAAUAAAGCUGUGAAUUUUUAAAAAUAGCUCUAGCUGCAUCCCACAAGUUCUUAUAUAUAGUAUUUUUAUUGUUACUGUAAUAUUUAUUGUCACUUUUUCUUUGAGUGGUGGCUCAUACCUAUAUCCAAGCACUUUAAGAGUCUGAGGCGGGCGAAUCACUUGAGCUCAGGAGCCUGGACAACAUAGCAAAACUGCGUCUCUCUACAAAAAGUACAAAAAUUAGCCAGGCGUGGUAGCAAGAGCCCAGCUACUUGGGAGGCUGAGGCAAGAGGAUCACUUGAGCCUGGGAAGUCAAAACUGCAGUGAGCUGUGAUCACACCACUACACUCCAGCCUGGAUGACAGAAUGAGACCUUGUCUCAAAAAAAAAAAAAAAAGAAAAGAAAAGAAAGAAAGAGAAAAAAGACAUAUGCCUGAAAGACUAUGUGUGUAUUCUCUAAUUGAUGGAUACAGGAUUUUGUAUAUUUUCAUGAAUAUCAUUCAAAUCUUGAAUAUCUUUACUAAUAUUUUUCCUUCUUGAUCUGUCAGUUAUAAGAAACAUAUGUUAAAAUACCCAUGAUGAUUGUGGAUUUGUCCAUUUCUCCUUGAAGAUCUCUCCAUUUUUAUUUUAUAUAUUUUUAAAGCUUUUCACAAAUUUUUGAGGAUAUUCAAGCUUGGAAUAGAGUUAUUUCCCUAGUGAAAUGUUCCUUUUAUUAUUUUGUAAUGUACGUAAUUUUAAUAAUUCUUUUGCCUUAAAGUUCAUUUCUCCUCCUAUUAAUAAAGAUACUCCAGCUUUCUGUUGGUUAGUGCUGUCUGAUACAACUUUUUUCAUCUCUUUACUUUCAAUCUUUCUUUGUCAUUAUGUUUUAGGUGUGCCUUUUAUAAAUAACAUAUAGCUGGAUUUUAUUUUUUGAUCGAGAGUUUCUGUCUUUUAACUGGUGAGUUAUGAUACCUGUAUAUUAUGAUUACUGAUAUAUUUUUAUUUAUUUCUCUUAUCUUGCUUUGUGUUUCUCUUUGCUUCUGUUUUCCCUUUUUCCUGUCUUCUAUUUAAAUGAUUAAGAUCUUUUGAUUUCAUGUCCGCCUAAUGGUCUGGAAGUCAUGUAUAUUCUAUUUCUGUUCUUUUAGUAGUUAUUACCCUGAUUUUAUUUACUUAUCUAUUUUUAUACACAAGGCAUUUCUGUAAUAUUACCCUGAUUUUAGACUUGUGCUCUGACUUAACAGAGUCUGAAAUUAUCCAUUAUCUCUCAAACGAUCAUGACCACUACAAGAACGUUAGAAUGCUUCAACUUCAGUUAUUUAUCUAAUUUUUAUAUUAUUUAGUAUUUUAGUCCUACCUGCUAAAUUUCCACAAAUCAAUCAUUACUGUGCAGUUAUUACUUUUAUUUUAUAAAUUCAGUGCUUGUUUAUAUUUACUUACACAUUUGUUUUCUCUGCUUAUUCUUGCUUCUUGCAUCUGAGUUUUUUCUUUCAAGUUCAAUUUAUUAAUUUAUGAAAUACAUACGUUAGAUUUCUUUUUAGCAAGGUUCAAUGAUUAAUAAAU
Molecule: long non-coding RNA, 5462 nt
Filed under: Homo sapiens (human)
Lineage: Eukaryota; Metazoa; Chordata; Mammalia; Primates; Hominidae
Description: HSALNT0214695
Source: RNAcentral